GUCUGCAGAGGAAAUGAAUUUCUGCUCCCGGGAGGGAGGGAGUGACGGCGAGAUGCGGCUGAUGUUCAAAGGAUGGAAACGCCCAGAUCCCUAGGCUCACCAGCUGCAAGGGGGCUGCUUAUUUCUACGAAAAAUGACCUGAUGGAACUGGGGUGUGCCGGAGAGCUCUAACACGGAAGAGAAGGCACAGUGAUGUCUGAGGUCUUCCAGGGUGGAGACCUCUGGUUUGAUGGAGCGAAUGAACAGGACAGUCUGGGGCAAGCACGGGAAGUUGCAGCGGACAGACAUUAGAGUUGCACACGGAUACAACAAAAUGUUUUCGCUGCAGAGCACGUCUGCUCUCAAUGGGAAGAAAUGAGGGCAGUAAUAAAAUUACACGCGCCUAGGAUGUAUGCUGAACACA
Molecule: long non-coding RNA, 403 nt
Organism: Suricata suricatta (meerkat)
Lineage: Eukaryota; Metazoa; Chordata; Mammalia; Carnivora; Herpestidae
Exons: 2
Source: RefSeq, a predicted model, not a curated record